GUUUGAUUCUGGCUCAGGAUGAACGCUGGCGGCAUGCCUAAUACAUGCAAGUCGAACGGAGUGAAGCCUUCGGGUUUCAUUCAGUGGCGAACGGGUGAGUAAUACGCAGGGAACCUGGCCAUGGCAGGGGGAUACACUCUGGAAACGGAGCAUAAGACCCCAUAGGCAGUAAGGCGGCAUCGCCUUGCUGUUAAAGAAAGCUGAAAGGCUUUGGCGAUGGAUGGACCUGCGGUGCAUUAGCUUGUUGGUGAGGCAACGGCUUACCAAGGCGAUGAUGCAUAGCCGGCCUGAGAGGGCGGACGGCCACACUGGGACUGAGACACGGCCCAGACUCCUUCGGGAGGCAGCAGUAGGGAAUUUUCGUCAAUGGGCGCAAGCCUGAACGAGCAAUGCCGCGUGAGUGAGGAAGGUCUUCGGACUGUAAAGCUCUGUUGCCGGGGAAAAAGGGGAAAUGCAGGAAAUGGCAUUUCAUGGAUGGUACCCGGCCAGAAAGCCACGGCUAACUACGUGCCAGCAGCCGCGGUAAUACGUAGGUGGCGAGCGUUAUCCGGAAUGAUUGGGCGUAAAGGGUGCGCAGGCGGUCUGUUAAGUCUGAAGGCAAAGGGAUGAGCUCAACUCAUUUAUGAUUCAGAAACUGGCAGACUUGAGGACAGGAGAGGGCGGUGGAACUCCAUGUGUAGCGGUAAAAUGCGCAGAGAUAUGGAAGAACACCAGUGGCGAAGGCGACCGCCUGGCCUGUGACUGACGCUGAGGCACGAAAGCGUGGGGAGCAAAUAGGAUUAGAUACCCUAGUAGUCCACGCCGUAAACGAUGAGGAGCAGGUGUUGGGAGUGAAAUCUCAGUGCCGAAGCCAACGCAGUGACUCCUCCGCCUGGGGAGUAUGCACGCAAGUGUGAAACUCAAAGGAAUUGACGGGGGCCCGCACAAGCGGUGGAGUAUGUGGUUUAAUUCGAAGCAACGCGAAGAACCUUACCAGGUUUUGACAUCGGAUGCGAAGGCGCAGAGAUGCGCUGGAGGCUAUCAUCCAGACAGGUGGUGCAUGGUUGUCGUCAGCUCGUGUCGUGAGAUGUUCAGUUAAGUCUGGCAACGAGCGCAACCCCCGUGGUAUGUUACUAACGCAUUUGGGCGAGGACUCAUAUCAGACUGCCGGUGACAAACCGGAGGAAGGCGGGGAUGACGUCAAAUCAUCAUGCCCCUUAUGACCUGGGCUACACACGUACUACAAUGGCGUCUACAGAGGGAAGCGACCCUGAGAAGGGAAGCGAAACCGGAAAAGGGCGUCCCAGUUCGGAUUGAAGUCUGCAACCCGACUUCAUGAAGAUGGAAUCGCUAGUAAUCGCGGAUCAGCAUGCCGCGGUGAAUACGUUCCCGGGCCUUGUACACACCGCCCGUCAAACCAUGGAAGCCGGCAACGCCCGAAGCCGGUGGCAUAACCUUUUAGGAGUGAGCCGUCGAAGGCGGGGCCGAUGACUGGGGUUAAGUCGUAACAAGGUAUCC
This 1497-nucleotide ribosomal RNA is filed under the name uncultured bacterium. RNAcentral describes it as "16S ribosomal RNA". It matches the Rfam family "Bacterial small subunit ribosomal RNA". The record is from RNAcentral.